UAGGGAAUUUUGCGCAAUGGGCGAAAGCCUGACGCAGCAACGCCAUGUGUGGGAUGAAGCUUUUCGGAGUGUAAACCACUGUCGGCAGGGAAUAAUAGGCAGAUUUAAUACAUUUGUUUUGAAGGUACCUGCAAAGGAAGCCCCGGCUAACUUCGUGCCAGCAGCCGCGGUAAUACGAGGGGGGCAAGUGUUGUUCGGAAUCACUGGGCGUAAAGGGAGCGUAGGUGGGAUAGCAAGUCAGGUGUUUAAUCCCGGGGCCCAACCCCGGAUUUGCAUUUGAAACUGUUAUUCUUGAGUAGGCUAGAGGUAGACGGAAUUCUUGGUGUAGCGGUGGAAUGCGUAGAUAUCAAGAAGAACACCAGAGGCGAAGGCGGUCUACUGGGGCACUACUGACACUGAGGCUCGAAAGCGUGGGUAGCAAACAGG
RNAcentral lists this ribosomal RNA (426 nucleotides) under uncultured bacterium. Its description in RNAcentral is "bacterial SSU rRNA". It matches the Rfam family "Bacterial small subunit ribosomal RNA", at positions 355 to 776 of the family's 1533-position model. The record is from RNAcentral.